Molecule: small nuclear RNA, 97 nt
Filed under: Myotis lucifugus (little brown bat)
Lineage: Eukaryota; Metazoa; Chordata; Mammalia; Chiroptera; Vespertilionidae
Source: RNAcentral
AUACCAAUAUACAAAAAAAUUGGAACGAUACAGAGAAGAUUAGCAUGGCCCCUGCGCAAGAAGGACACUCAAAUUUUGUGAAGCAUUCCAUAUUUAA